AUUAGAUGUAAAUAAAUGCAAUAACUGUGUGUACAAAAGAGUGACUAUAAAUUGAUGAAGGUGAGAUGCUGCAUGAGCUGGAUUCUAAUACACAAUGUUGAUUAGAUGUCUGAGUUAAUGUCAGGCAGACACCAGAUGCAGGAAAUUAUUCUACAUUGCUGUUUCAGAGCUUGAAAUCUCUCUGUAAUUUGAUGAAUUAAGAAUUACAAUGACGACAUCCUUUUAAUGGUAUUGUGUAUCAUUUAAAUCCUCGCUUAACUGUUAUUAAGCAAAACCCAGAAGUCACUGACAUGCAGCUUGCAGACUACUAUGGAGGAGAUAAAUAUCUUGUUGUUGUUGUGGUUGCUUCCCAAGAAAGGUUGUUGAUAUUAUAUACACUAAACUAUGGUUUCUUUUAUACAUUUAACCCUGAGUAUCCUUAGUUCGUAAUCAUUUUGGUUAAUGUUGGCAGUUUAUAUUAAAAAUGUUCUUCUUUUAUCAAUAAAGGCAAGUCAACUCUUGAAAUCAUUAACUUUAAAUGAACCAUAAAGACAUUUUUAAAGAACUUUUUUAAUGAGUAGAACAUAAACAGGAACAUAUUUUUAUGUACUUUAUAAUUAAAU
Molecule: long non-coding RNA, 602 nt
Organism: Hydra vulgaris (swiftwater hydra)
Lineage: Eukaryota; Metazoa; Cnidaria; Hydrozoa; Anthoathecata; Hydridae
Source: RefSeq, a predicted model, not a curated record